UUGUCUUUUUCGCUGAAUUCUGUAAAAGAAGCGGGGGAACCACCGCGUGUGCAGUUUUGCAACUGCCAUGCCAAGGGGUGAAUCUCGAACAUUCGAGUAGGGCUACUCUUCAGGCCCGAAUCCGUCAGCUAACCCCGUAAGCGUAGAAGAGAGGAGAC
This 158-nucleotide small RNA is filed under the name Paenibacillus riograndensis. Its description in RNAcentral is "c-di-AMP sequence". It matches the Rfam family "c-di-AMP riboswitch aptamer (ydaO/yuaA leader)". Rfam says of the family: This family represents a conserved RNA structure found upstream of the ydaO and yuaA genes in Bacillus subtilis and related genes in other bacteria. The ydaO/yuaA element is thought to act as a genetic "off" switch for the ydaO and yuaA genes in its native state. Lineage: Bacteria; Bacillati; Bacillota; Bacilli; Caryophanales; Paenibacillaceae. The record is from RNAcentral.